GAUGAACGCUGGCGGCGUGCCUAAUACAUGCAAGUCGAGCGAACAGACGAGGAGCUUGCUCCUCUGACGUUAGCGGCGGACGGGUGAGUAACACGUGGAUAACCUACCUAUAAGACUGGGAUAACUUCGGGAAACCGGAGCUAAUACCGGAUAAUAUAUUGAACCGCAUGGUUCAAUAGUGAAAGACGGUUUUGCUGUCACUUAUAGAUGGAUCCGCGCCGCAUUAGCUAGUUGGUAAGGUAACGGCUUACCAAGGCAACGAUGCGUAGCCGACCUGAGAGGGUGAUCGGCCACACUGGAACUGAGACACGGUCCAGACUCCUACGGGAGGCAGCAGUAGGGAAUCUUCCGCAAAGGGCGAAAGCUUGACGGAGCAACGCCGCGUGAGUGAUUAAGGUCUUCGGAUCGUAAAACUCUGUUAUUAGGGAAGAACAAAUGUGUAAGUAACUAUGCACGUCUUGACGGUACCUAAUCAGAAAGCCACGGCUAACUACGUG
This 497-nucleotide ribosomal RNA is filed under the name uncultured bacterium. RNAcentral's name for it is "partial 16S ribosomal RNA". It matches the Rfam family "Bacterial small subunit ribosomal RNA", at positions 28 to 507 of the family's 1533-position model. The record is from RNAcentral.